GAUGAACGCUGGCGGCGUGCCUAAUACAUGCAAGUCGAGCGGUAAGGCCCCUUCGGGGGUACACGAGCGGCGGACGGCUGAGUAACACGUAGGAACGCACCCCAAAGUGAGGGAUAAGCACCAGAAAUGGUGUCUAAUACCGCAUGUGGUCUUCGGAUUAAAGCUUCGGCGCUUUGGGAACGGCCUGCGUCCGAUUAGCUAGUUGGUAGUGUAAAAGACUACCAAGGCGACGAUCGGUAGCUGGUCUGAGAGGAUGAUCAGCCAGACUGGGACUGAGACACGGCCCAGACUCCUACGGGAGGCAGCAGUAGGGAAUUUUCCACAAUGGGCGAAAGCCUGAUGGAGCAACGCCGCGUGCAGGAUGAAUGCCUUCGGGUUGUAAACUGCUUUUAUGUGUGACGAUUAUGACAGUAACACAUGAAUAAGGACCUGCUAACUACGUGCCAGCAGCCGCGGUAA
Molecule: ribosomal RNA, 459 nt
Filed under: uncultured bacterium
Lineage: Bacteria
Description: partial 16S ribosomal RNA
Rfam family: Bacterial small subunit ribosomal RNA
Source: RNAcentral